UACGUAGGGUGCGAGCGUUGUCCGGAAUUAUUGGGCGUAAAGAGCUCGUAGGCGGUCUGUCGCGUCUGCUGUGAAAUCCCGAGGCUCAACCUCGGGCCUGCAGUGGGUACGGGCAGACUAGAGUGCGGUAGGGGAGAUUGGAAUUCCUGGUGUAGCGGUGGAAUGCGCAGAUAUCAGGAGGAACACCGAUGGCGAAGGCAGAUCUCUGGGCCGAUACUGACGCUGAGGAGCGAAAGCGUGGGGAGCAAACAGG
RNAcentral lists this ribosomal RNA (253 nucleotides) under uncultured bacterium. Its description in RNAcentral is "partial 16S ribosomal RNA". It matches the Rfam family "Bacterial small subunit ribosomal RNA", at positions 524 to 776 of the family's 1533-position model. The record is from RNAcentral.